GCAGUGAUAACUCAGUGGUAGAAUUCUCGCUUUCCACGCAAGAGACCUGGAUUCAAUUCCUGGCCAUUGCA
This 71-nucleotide transfer RNA is filed under the name Loxodonta africana (African savanna elephant). It matches the Rfam family "tRNA". Rfam says of the family: Transfer RNA (tRNA) molecules are approximately 80 nucleotides in length. Their secondary structure includes four short double-helical elements and three loops (D, anti-codon, and T loops). The record is from Rfam by way of RNAcentral. Lineage: Eukaryota; Metazoa; Chordata; Mammalia; Proboscidea; Elephantidae.